RNAcentral lists this ribosomal RNA (468 nucleotides) under uncultured Pandoraea sp. Its description in RNAcentral is "bacterial SSU rRNA". It matches the Rfam family "Bacterial small subunit ribosomal RNA", at positions 337 to 797 of the family's 1533-position model. Lineage: Bacteria; Pseudomonadati; Pseudomonadota; Betaproteobacteria; Burkholderiales; Burkholderiaceae. The record is from RNAcentral.
UCCUACGGGAGGCAGCAGUGGGGAAUUUUGGACAAUGGGCGAAAGCCUGAUCCAGCAAUGCCGCGUGUGUGAAGAAGGCCUUCGGGUUGUAAAGCACUUUUGUCCGGAAAGAAAUCCUUUGGGUUAAUACCUCGGGGGGAUGACGGUACCGGAAGAAUAAGCACCGGCUAACUACGUGCCAGCAGCCGCGGUAAUACGUAGGGUGCAAGCGUUAAUCGGAAUUACUGGGCGUAAAGCGUGCGCAGGCGGUUUUGUAAGACGGAUGUGAAAUCCCCGGGCUUAACCUGGGAACUGCAUUCGUGACUGCAAGGCUAGAGUAUGGCAGAGGGGGGUAGAAUUCCACGUGUAGCAGUGAAAUGCGUAGAGAUGUGGAGGAAUACCGAUGGCGAAGGCAGCCCCCUGGGCCAAUACUGACGCUCAUGCACGAAAGCGUGGGGAGCAAACAGGAUUAGAUACCCUGGUAGUCCA